RNAcentral lists this ribosomal RNA (762 nucleotides) under uncultured bacterium. RNAcentral describes it as "bacterial SSU rRNA". It matches the Rfam family "Bacterial small subunit ribosomal RNA", at positions 8 to 803 of the family's 1533-position model. The record is from RNAcentral.
AGAGUUUGAUUAUGGCUCAGAAUCAACGCUGGCGGCGCGCUUAACACAUGCAAGUCGAGCGAGAAAGUGGAGCAAUCCAUGAGUAAAGCGGCGUACGGGUGAGUAACACGUGGAUUAUCUACCUUUUAGUGGGGGAUAACCCUGGGAAACCGGGGCUAAUACCGCAUAAGCCUUUACAGGGAAAGCAGCAAUGCCUGAAAGAGGAGUCUGCGGCCGAUUAGCUAGUUGGUGAGGUAACGGCCCACCAAGGCGAUGAUCGGUAGCCGGCCUGAGAGGGCACACGGCCACACUGGCACUGAAACACGGGCCAGACUCCUACGGGAGGCAGCAGUGGGGAAUCUUGCACAAUGGGGGCAACCCUGAUGCAGCGACGCCGCGUGAACGAUGAAGCCCUUCGGGGUGUAAAGUUCUUUCGGCAGGGACGAUAAUGACGGUACCUGAAGAAGAAGCUCCGGCUAACUACGUGCCAGCAGCCGCGGUAAUACGUAGGGUGCAAGCGUUAAUCGGAAUUACUGGGCGUAAAGCGUGCGCAGGCGGUUAUAUAAGUCAGAUGUGAAAUCCCCGGGCUCAACCUGGGAACUGCAUUUGAGACUGUAUGGCUAGAGUGUGUCAGAGGGGGGUAGAAUUCCACGUGUAGCAGUGAAAUGCGUAGAUAUGUGGAGGAAUACCGAUGGCGAAAGCAGCCCCCUGGGAUAACACUGACGCUCAUGCACGAAAGCGUGGGGAGCAAACAGGAUUAGAUACCCUGGUAGUCCACGCCCU